UACGGGGGGUGCAAGCGUUGUUCGGAAUUACUGGGCGUAAAGGGCUCGUAGGUGGCCAACUAAGUCAGACGUGAAAUCCCUCGGCUUAACCGGGGAACUGCGUCUGAUACUGGAUGGCUUGAGUUUGGGAGAGGGAUGCGGAAUUCCAGGUGUAGCGGUGAAAUGCGUAGAUAUCUGGAGGAACACCGGUGGCGAAGGCGGCGUCCUGGACCAACACUGACACUGAGGAGCGAAAGCCAGGGGAGCAAACGGG
This 253-nucleotide ribosomal RNA is filed under the name uncultured bacterium. RNAcentral's name for it is "partial 16S ribosomal RNA". It matches the Rfam family "Bacterial small subunit ribosomal RNA", at positions 524 to 776 of the family's 1533-position model. The record is from RNAcentral.